AAGAUCUUAUGUUAAUAAAACAUUUAACCUUCAAAGUUAAUAAUAUAAGUAAUAACCUUAUAGGUCUUA
RNAcentral lists this transfer RNA (69 nucleotides) under Orthetrum sabina. Its description in RNAcentral is "tRNA-Trp". Lineage: Eukaryota; Metazoa; Arthropoda; Insecta; Odonata; Libellulidae. The record is from RNAcentral.